RNAcentral lists this long non-coding RNA (682 nucleotides) under Capra hircus (goat). RNAcentral describes it as "lncRNA (ENSCHIG00000001833.1)". The record is from RNAcentral. Lineage: Eukaryota; Metazoa; Chordata; Mammalia; Artiodactyla; Bovidae.
GAAUUUUUCAAGUAAAGUAUUGCCAUGAUGAUUUACAAUGUUAAUAAAAAGAGAUUAGAAGGAUUGGAAAAGUAAAAUUUUGAGACAUGUGAAAAAGGGGGCCGGUUGACAAGGUUUUUUUUCCUGACAUUGACUCCUGGCCUGGUGCUUUUCCCUUCAGAGACUGCUCUCCAGACUCAUUCCUCUUGCUGGACAACUUGGCUUUGCCUCUUCUCAGAGGAUACAUCAUGCACCAUACUGUGCCCCGCCUGUCGGAUUAGCUUUUCGUGAACAAUCGUGUGGGAACUUUCAAAUGGUUGCCGUGAGAGUGUUGGAGAAAAGCCAUUGUCCCAUAGCUACAAAUUUGGCCAAGUAUCAUCACAUGUAUUUUUCUCAAUGGACAGAUUGAAACAGGUUUCAGGCAGCAGUCCACUGGUUAUUUCUGCCCUCUCAAAGCAUCCUGCAGUCACUCAUCUCUAGUCCUGUACUUCACCUAUCAAUAAAAGGAAUUUGAAAUCUUUCAACACAGAGAUAUUAUUUCUGCUUCAACUUAUUUCAGGAUGCCACGGUUCAAAAUAAAAAUCCACAGACUGCUGAUGGCUCUGUCAAUAUCAGUCAGCUGCUAACAACACUUUAUUGGAGGUGCUUCAAGGUAGAGUGUAGGCACCUGAAACCAUCAAUAAAUGGAGAGAAAGUCCUGGGG